Molecule: ribosomal RNA, 234 nt
Filed under: Chloropicon mariensis
Lineage: Eukaryota; Viridiplantae; Chlorophyta; Chloropicophyceae; Chloropicales; Chloropicaceae
Description: partial Bacterial large subunit ribosomal RNA
Rfam family: Bacterial large subunit ribosomal RNA
Source: RNAcentral
CAACAGUGAUUCCGCAAGUAGUGGCGAGCGAACGCGGAUUAGCCCAAACCUAUUUUGUUACGGCAAAAUGGGGGUUGUAGGACCACGAUAUUCGAUGCUGAUUGAAUUAGAACUGUUUGGAAAGACAGACCGAAGAGGGUGAUAGUCCCGUAUAAGUAAGAGAAGUUAUUGAUAGUGGUAUCCUGAGUAGUGCGGGACACGUGUAAUCCUGUAUGAAUCUGCCGGGACCAUCCG